Molecule: long non-coding RNA, 457 nt
Filed under: Ursus maritimus (polar bear)
Lineage: Eukaryota; Metazoa; Chordata; Mammalia; Carnivora; Ursidae
Description: lncRNA (ENSUMAG00000015142.1)
Source: RNAcentral
GUCAGGCCGAUGGUGUGGACUUCACAGACCACGUCUCUUCCUGUGGAUUCCCACAGCUCACCUGUGGCCCGGUGAACUCUUACGUGCUACCCGAUGUAGAAAACAGCAGAAUGAGGAUGCUGAGGUGGGGACCGGGAGGGAGCCCCAGAAGGGGUUCCCUCUGGAAAGCCACACAUCUAGCAUCUCGCAGCUCGGAGCUCGCUUCGAAGCACACUGCCGUUCGUCUGUGUAUGUGUCGUUCGCUUCUCCCCGACAGCACGACAGCUCCCCGAGGGCCGUGUCGGUGGUCAAGCCGCGGUGCCAAGUCAAGCAUGUACAACUUAAGAAAAGCAACAACAACAACCACCACCAAACAAAGAACAGCACACAUGAGAACUCAUUUUUGUUGUGGAAAAAUGGAAUGUUCAGAUGAACAGGAAGAAGACAAUAAAAUUUUCUCUCAAUUUCAAUAUCAAGC